CCUACGGGGUGCAGCAGUGGGGAAUAUUGGGCAAUGGGCGCAAGCCUGACCCAGCAACGCCGCGUGAAGGAAGAAGGCUUUCGGGUUGUAAACUUCUUUUCUGAGGGACGAAGAAAGUGACGGUACGUCAGGGAUACGCCACCGCUAACUACGUGCGAGCAGCCGCGGUAAUACGUAGGUGGCAAGCGUUAUCCGGAUUUAUUGGGUGUAAAGGGCGUGUAGGCGGGAAAGCAAGUCAGAUGUGAAAACUCAGGGCUCAACCCUGAGCCUGCCUUUGAAACUGUGUUUCUUGAGUGCUGGAGAGGCAAGCGGAAUUCCGUGUGUAGCGGUGAAAUGCGUAGAUAUACGGAGGAACACCAGUGGCGAAGGCGGAUUGCUGGACAGUAACUGACGCUGAGGCGCGAAAGCGUGGGGAGCAAACAGGAUUAGAUACCCGAGUAGUC
RNAcentral lists this ribosomal RNA (443 nucleotides) under uncultured bacterium. RNAcentral describes it as "partial 16S ribosomal RNA". It matches the Rfam family "Bacterial small subunit ribosomal RNA", at positions 338 to 795 of the family's 1533-position model. The record is from RNAcentral.